AGAGUUUGAUCCUGGCUCAGGACGAACGCUGGCGGCACGCUUAACACAUGCAAGUCGAACGAGAGAAGAGGAGCUUGCUUUUCUGAUCUAGUGGCGGACGGGUGAGUAACACGUGAGCAAUCUGCCUUUCAGAGGGGGAUACCGAUUGGAAACGAUCGUUAAUACCGCAUAACAUAAUUGAACCGCAUGAUUUGAUUAUCAAAGAUUUAUCGCUGAAAGAUGGGCUCGCGUCUGAUUAUCUAGUUGGUAAGGUAACGGCUUACCAAGGCGACGAUCAGUAGCCGGACUGAGAGGUUGAACGGCCACAUUGGGACUGAGACACGGCCCAGACUCCUACGGGAGGCAGCAGUGGGGAAUAUUGCACAAUGGAGGAAACUCUGAUGCAGCGAUGCCGCGUGAGGGAAGAAGGUUUUAGGAUUGUAAACCUCUGUCUUCAGGGACGAAAAAAGACGGUACCUGAGGAGGAAGCUCCGGCUAACUACGUGCCAGCAGCCGCGGUAAUACGUAGGGAGCGAGCGUUGUCCGGAAUUACUGGGUGUAAAGGGAGCGUAGGCGGGAUCGCAAGUCAGAUGUGAAAACUAUGGGCUUAACCCAUAAACUGCAUUUGAAACUGUGGUUCUUGAGAGAAGUAGAGGUAAGCGGAAUUCCUAGUGUAGCGGUGAAAUGCGUAGAUAUUAGGAGGAACAUCAGUGGCGAAGGCGGCUUACUGGGCUUUAACUGACGCUGAGGCUCGAAAGCGUGGGGAGCAAACAGGAUUAGAUACCCUGGUAGUCCACGCCGUAAACGAUGAUUACUAGGUGGGGGGACUGACCCCUUCCGUGCCGCAGCAAACGCAAUAAGUAAUCCACCUGGGGAGUACGACCGCAAGGUUGAAACUCAAAGGAAUUGACGGGGGCCCGCACAAGCAGUGGAGUAUGUGGAUUAAUUCGAAGCAACGCGAAGAACCUUACCAGGUCUUGACAUCGUAUGCAUAGCUCAGAGAUGAGUGAAAUCUCUUCGGAGACAUAUAGACAGGUGGUGCAUGGUUGUCGUCAGCUCGUGUCGUGAGAUGUUGGGUUAAGUCCCGCAACGAGCGCAACCCUUACUGUUAGUUGCUACGCAAGAGCACUCUAGCAGGACUGCCGUUGACAAAACGGAGGAAGGUGGGGAUGACGUCAAAUCAUCAUGCCCCUUAUGACCUGGGCCUCACACGUACUACAAUGGCUGUCAACAGAGGGAAGCAAAGCCGCGAGGUGGAGCGAACCCCUAAAAGCAGUCUUAGUUCGGAUUGUAGGCUGCAACCCGCCUACAUGAAGUCGGAAUUGCUAGUAAUCGCAGAUCAGCAUGCUGCGGUGAAUACGUUCCCGGGCCUUGUACACACCGCCCGUCACGCCAUGGGAGUCGGUAAUACCCGAAGCCUGUAGUCUAACCGCAAGGAGGAGCAGUCGAAGGUGGGAUUGAUGACUGGGGUGAAGUCGAAACAAGGUA
Molecule: ribosomal RNA, 1467 nt
Filed under: metagenome
Description: bacterial SSU rRNA
Rfam family: Bacterial small subunit ribosomal RNA
Source: RNAcentral